UGAAACCGGUAUAAUUUAGAAAAAUACCGUGAUAUAAAUUGUUGGUCAUACCGCCCAGCACUAGUCUGAAGGGUUGAGAGACUUUAACUAACUGCAUGUUAUUUCCAGUGAGGUUAAAGUGAUGCAUUUCAAAGAGUUUUCAAUGUCACAUUCAUACAGUAUGUAGUUUAAUCGCAUGCAACUUCAAUUAACAGCUCAAACAUGAAGAACAGCAGAAUUCUGCCUCGAGCUCCGACAGGAACCGAAGAGUUUGUGUUUGGCUUUGAAGACUAAUUGGCGCUCUGGAUGAGUUUCCUCGGAGCUUGAAGCGUUGCAUCUCCUGAAGUGAAUCCUGACUCUGGCUGCUCUGUUCGUUAGCCUGUGUGCGCGAGGUAACCUUCCUUUGCUCUCCUGUUCACUUCUUAAACUCAGAUUCAGUUGCUCUGACAGCACAGCGCAGAUCUCACAGUCCUCUCAGAAGCGUCUGCAUGGUGUCGUAGAUCCUCAGACGGACGUCAGACACUCAGAGUUAAACUCCCACUCAUUUCUCCCCAUGCAUUGCCAACCAUUCUAGAAAGACUUUACAUUUAGGCUCUGAUCACCAACACAUUCACUUUCACCAAUGUAGCUCAAUUUGAGAAACGCCAGAUUAGUUCCCAGAGCAAAGACACUGUAGUUAGUUCUGUGUUCAUAUCUGUGAUUCCUGCGGUCGAGUGUUUAAUGUUCGUUCUUUGGUUUUGUUCAGGUUGAGUUCCCGUCGGAAACCGUCGGGGGUUUGAAGAAGGUCGAGGCCUGAUGAACCGUGUUUGUUCCUCUGAAGGGUAAAGCGUGAGAUGAUGAAAGCUUGAUGGAGGUUCACGAACAUCAGAUGGUCAUUUUAUGACCCGCAACUGUUGAAAACCCUUUAACACCUUUGGUUUUCCUGCUCAAAAAUGAUUGUAAAUCUCAUGAUGCUGUAUUAUCACCAAAUACUGGCCUGUUUUCUUUCAGCGAGCGCAGGUUUUGUUUUCUCUUCUGGAACUGUUUGAUCACAGGCCACAGUAACCUUCUUUAGUUAAUGUUACUUAAUGUGCAAUACAUUUGUUACAGUAUUUAUGUUAAUAAAAAUCCACCUGUUCUUUGUCAACGUUAGCUCCGUUUUAUUAAAUGAUCUUAACAGAUGCAAGAUUUGAUUUUAAAAAUGCAUUAGUACAUGUUGAAAUUAACAUUGAUUGAUUAAUGCUUUAGAUUUCAUGUGAACUAAUGUGGCUAACUAAUGAAGUUUUUCUCAAGUUUCACUGAUCUGGUUGUGGAUAAUUUUGACAUUUAUUAAAAUAUGAAAAA
This is a long non-coding RNA of Sinocyclocheilus rhinocerous, 1302 nucleotides long. RefSeq lists it as uncharacterized. Lineage: Eukaryota; Metazoa; Chordata; Actinopteri; Cypriniformes; Cyprinidae. The record is from RefSeq and is a predicted model, not a curated record. The transcript has 3 exons.